Molecule: long non-coding RNA, 633 nt
Organism: Ornithodoros turicata
Lineage: Eukaryota; Metazoa; Arthropoda; Arachnida; Ixodida; Argasidae
Exons: 3
Source: RefSeq, a predicted model, not a curated record
UCGAGGAGUUACGUGAUCUAUGCGACGGGGCCAGACAUGCUGGUGGCGUGGCACUGCUCACGCUUCAUCUUCGAUGCCUUGUCGCCAUAACGUUUCCUCGCUUUACUAUGGCUUCUGCGAUUCUUUGCCAGCUGCCCGCAGUGGGUAUGGACGUCACCAACGGAGACUUCACUGGUGUUCAACGUGCCGCCUGCAGGAAUUGUGCGUGCGAUUCAUACCGAAGACUGACAGAUAUUAGCCGGUACACGGCACAAGUGUUAACCGGAAGAUGCGUCCAGUGCUGGCACUCAACUGUCGACCAUGUGCAAGUUCUGCCUUGAAGCAGAAUUCCGAUUCGAGACCAGGAUGGGAAGCAUGGAGGAAACGCUGCACAACGGGUGACAACUGCCAUAUCAACAGCCCCCACAAAGAGAUGGAGAGCCGCUGUAAUAUGGUGAUCAUAUGCCCUGAGCAACAAACAGGUCUGCAUCCCAGCGGAACUCGGUUCGUAGCGAGGUUUUCAAGCUUGCAAAUAGCUUCGCAGCAGCGGCGUGGAGCCGCGUCGUUUCGUGCAAUCUCUGAUAUUUUGACUAUAUGUAGUAGUUCUUAUUCAUUUUUAUUUUCUCUGAGUCAUAGUUUGCCAGUUUAGUCAAU